Molecule: ribosomal RNA, 492 nt
Filed under: uncultured bacterium
Lineage: Bacteria
Description: partial 16S ribosomal RNA
Rfam family: Bacterial small subunit ribosomal RNA
Source: RNAcentral
AGUGAACGCUGGCGGUAGGCCUAACACAUGCAAGUCGAACGGCCGCACAGUAAGAGCUUGCUCUUACGGGUGGCGAGUGGCGGACGGGUGAGGCAUACAUCGGAAUCUACUUUUUCGUGGGGGAUAACGUAGGGAAACUUACGCUAAUACCGCAUACGUCCUACGGGUGAAAGCAGGGGAUCUUCGGACCUUGCGCGAUUGAAUGAGCCGAUGCCGGAUUAGCUAGUUGGCGGGGUAAAGGCCCACCAAGGCGACGAUCCGUAGCUGGUCUGAGAGGAUGAUCAGCCACACUGGAACUGAGACACGGUCCAGACUCCUACGGGAGGCAGCAGUGGGGAAUAUUGGGCAAUGGGCGCAAGCCUGAUCCAGCAAUACCGCGUGAGUGAAGAAGGUCUUCGGGUUGUAAAGCCCUUUUGUUGGGAAAGAAAAGCUGCGGGUGAAUACCCCGCUGUUCUGACGGUACCCAAAGAAUAAGCACCGGCUAACUUCGUG